GGAGGAGUCGCAUAGUGGCCGAGUGCGCAGUCUUGGAAAGACUGUAUACCGUAAGGUAUCGUGGGUUCGAAUCCCACCUCCUCCGCCA
This 88-nucleotide transfer RNA is filed under the name Parcubacteria group bacterium CG2_30_36_38. RNAcentral describes it as "tRNA-Ser". It matches the Rfam family "tRNA". Rfam says of the family: Transfer RNA (tRNA) molecules are approximately 80 nucleotides in length. The record is from RNAcentral. RNAcentral also lists the same sequence under 1 other name.